GUGAGGAAUAUUGGUCAAUGGACGAGAGUCUGAACCAGCCAAGUAGCGUGAAGGAUGACUGCCCUAUGGGUUGUAAACUUCUUUUAUAAGGGAAUAAAGUGAGGGACGUGUCCCUUUUUGUAUGUACCUUAUGAAUAAGGAUCGGCUAACUCCGUGCCAGCAGCCGCGGUAAUACGGAGGAUCCAAGCGUUAUCCGGAUUUAUUGGGUUUAAAGGGAGCGUAGGUUGACAUAUAAGUCAGCUGUGAAAGUUUACGGCUCAACCGUGAAAUUGCAGUUGAUACUGUAUGUCUUGAGUGUACAAGAGGUGGGCGGAAUUCGUGGUGUAGCGGUGAAAUGCUUAGAUAUCACGAAGAACUCCAAUUGCGAAGGCAGCUCACUGGGGUACAACUGACACUGAGGCUCGAAAGUGUGGGUAUCAAACAGGAUUAGAAACCCUUGUAGUCC
Molecule: ribosomal RNA, 445 nt
Filed under: uncultured bacterium
Lineage: Bacteria
Description: partial 16S ribosomal RNA
Rfam family: Bacterial small subunit ribosomal RNA
Source: RNAcentral